RNAcentral lists this ribosomal RNA (443 nucleotides) under uncultured bacterium. RNAcentral describes it as "partial 16S ribosomal RNA". It matches the Rfam family "Bacterial small subunit ribosomal RNA", at positions 338 to 795 of the family's 1533-position model. The record is from RNAcentral.
CCUACGGGAGGCAGCAGUGGGGAAUAUUGGGCAAUGGGCGCAAGCCUGACCCAGCAACGCCGCGUGAAGGAAGAAGGCUUUCGGGUUGUAAACUUCUUUUCUCAUGGACGAAGCAAGUGACGGUACCUGAGGAAUAAGCCACGGCUAACUACGUGCCAGCAGCAGCGGUAAUACGUAGGUGGCAAGCGUUAUCCGGAUUUACUGGGUGUAAAGGGCGUGUAGGCGGGAAAGCAAGUCAGAUGUGAAAACCAUGGGCUCAACCCGUGGCCUGCAUUUGAAACUGUUUUUCUUGAGUACUGGAGAGGUAGACGGAAUUCCUAGUGUAGCGGUGAAAUGCGUAGAGAUUAGGAGGAACACCAGUGGCGAAGGCGGUCUGCUGGACAGCAACUGACGCUGAGGCGCGAAAGCGUGGGGAGCAAACAGGAUUAGAUACCCUUGUAGUC